UUUUCAAAACUCCCUUUUCACAUGUUAAUCCAAAACUUGACAAAUAUUGUGCAAACAUUUUCAUCUCUUUUCAAAUUAGAAACCUAGGCUUUAGGCCUUUGAUUUUUCAAACUUCAUUUUCAUAAAUACUUCUUUGAAUCAAAUUCUAAUCAUACCUUGACCACUCUUUUGUGAAUAAAUCCUAAUUGGUUAACCCAACUCAUU
RNAcentral lists this long non-coding RNA (204 nucleotides) under Lathyrus oleraceus (garden pea). RNAcentral's name for it is "Pisum sativum (pea) long non-coding RNA (PSAT_LNC038241)". The record is from RNAcentral. Lineage: Eukaryota; Viridiplantae; Streptophyta; Magnoliopsida; Fabales; Fabaceae.